CAAUAGCGUAUAUUAAAGUUGUUGCAGUUAAAAGCUCGUAGUCGGAUUUCGGGUCGGGCCGAGCGGUCUGCCGAUGGGUAUGCACUGUUUGGCGCGGCCUUCUUUCCGGAGACCGCGGCUACUCUUAACUGAGCGGGCGUGGGAGACGGAUCGUUUACUUUGAAAAAUCAGAGUGUUUCUAGCAGGCAGCUCGCUCUUGCAUAGGUUAGCAUGGGAUAAUUUAAUAGGACUCUGGUGCUAUUUUGUUGGUUUCUAGAACAUAUGCAAUGAUUAAUAGGGAUAAUUGGGGGCACUCGUAUUAACGCGUCAGAGGUGGAAUUCUUAGAUUGCGUUACGACGAACUACUGCGAAAGCAUUUGCCAAGGAUGUUUUCAUUGAUCAAGAACGAAAGUAUGGGGAUCGAAGACGAUCAGAUACCAU
RNAcentral lists this ribosomal RNA (420 nucleotides) under uncultured eukaryote. RNAcentral's name for it is "bacterial SSU rRNA". It matches the Rfam family "Eukaryotic small subunit ribosomal RNA", at positions 592 to 1018 of the family's 1831-position model. The record is from RNAcentral.